RNAcentral lists this transfer RNA (77 nucleotides) under Gracilibacteraceae bacterium. RNAcentral describes it as "tRNA-Val". It matches the Rfam family "tRNA". From Rfam's summary of the family: Transfer RNA (tRNA) molecules are approximately 80 nucleotides in length. Their secondary structure includes four short double-helical elements and three loops (D, anti-codon, and T loops). Lineage: Bacteria; Bacillati; Bacillota; Clostridia; Eubacteriales; Gracilibacteraceae. The record is from RNAcentral.
GGAAGCAUAGCUCAGUUGGUCAGAGCGCCUGUCUCACAUACAGGAGGCCGCUGGUUCAAGUCCAGCUGUUUCCACCA